RNAcentral lists this long non-coding RNA (2166 nucleotides) under Phoenix dactylifera (date palm). RNAcentral's name for it is "long non-coding RNA (PDAC_LNC009452)". The record is from RNAcentral. Lineage: Eukaryota; Viridiplantae; Streptophyta; Magnoliopsida; Arecales; Arecaceae.
UCAUAGCAAGUUCUUUUGAUCUCUUUCAAAGUAAGACUAACUUUCCAGCCUUGGAUUUUAAAUUCAUAAUUCUUUGCCCAAGAAAUUAAUUGUUCAUGAUUAAUUCCACACAAGAAUCAUAAUCGGCUUAAUAGAAAUAGGUUAGAGCAUUAGCAUCAAAUACUUUUCAUAAUCCAUAAUCUUUUUUUUGCCCUUCUCUUAACUUUGCCCAUGAUUUAAUGAUCAACCUUUAUCCUAAAAAAAAAAACCCACCUCAAACCCUUUCGAACAGAUAGAUUGACGAUGUCAUAAUUAGGAGUAGGGAACCAAUGUUAAAGCAUUCCAGGUCUAAGCCUAACAAGGAGCCAUCAAUCUGUUAACACUAAAUUUAGGAUGCCCAAGAUUCUCCCAAGAACUGUCAACAAUAGAAAAACCCACUAGUGAAAAUUACAUAGCUACCUCCAGAUUAUUCAUAAAAUCAACAACAUUCUUCUCUACUAAAAGGCUAACUCAAGUCUUCCAAUAAUUCUACUUAUCAAUACAAUUUCAUCUUAUCAUAAGAAUAAGGUCCAAUACCUCCAAAUUUGGUUCUUUUUAUAGAUGAUGCAAAUCAAACUUCUCUCUCUCAUAAAUAAAAAUCAAUGUCUUAAUUUAGAACAUCAAAUUUCUUUGUCAAAAUAUCAACUACUCUUGAUUAAUCGAUCUAUCACAAGAUUAGGUCAUAAACAACUCUAAUCCACCCUUAGUAGAAUAUUUAUCAAGAUCGAUAGAUAACCUCAAUCUCUUUCAAUCAAAUAGUGGGUUGAUGUUAAUUGAAGAAGUACAAGCUUUGGAUUUAGGAGAAAAGAGGUAUACACCAAAAUAUUUUAGGUCCAAGAUCAUAAUCAAUGAUCUAGUAAUUCUAGUCUCAAGAUGUUACGCAUUUCUUUAGCACGACAUAAAAUUAGAGAACCUAAGAUAGUGCAGCGACAUCCAAAAAUUCUAAAUCAAAUCAAGUCUUUUGUUAUUAUAACUUGCCGAAUUAAAAGGAUAAUACUUCUGACCAACUUAGAAAAAUAGUUCAGACCACUACGCUUUCGCUGUGCACUCUGAUUCAAACCACCAUUUUUUUUUUGAAUUCACUAAUAACUUUUUUUUCUUUUUUUUAAUCAAAAUACUACCUUGUAUUUUGAACUAAGGAGAUCCAAAAUUUUAAUUUCCAAGUAAAGCCCAAAAGAACUUUUGGUUUCGUCCUCUAACUUCCCCCGAGUACAUCCAUCUAGACUGAUCCUCGAGUCAAUUGAUACGUUCAAAAACACCAUAUAGGCUAGUUACUAUAAUUCAAAAUAAAUUAAAUCUUAAUUCUCUCAUCUACUCAACUAGAUGAUUCCAAGUCAAACUCUUAUAAGUAAAAAUAACUAGAAAAAUGUUCUCAAUGCUCCACCAAGUCAGAAGACCUUAAAUCAAUAGAUAUAAGUAAAAUUGACUCGACGAUCUCUUCUAGAGUUUUCUUCAUUGAGAUCUAUGGCAUUUUUUUAUUAAAAAUCUUCCAUCAUAAUCAUGUAAGCCUCUAAAAUUCAAAUUUUUUUAUGCAAAUCUAGAUUUUAUUAGCAACCGCAACAAUAUUGACAAAAGACCCUAGAUCGGCAUAUACAUUACAUAAUUUUCGAUAAACAUGAACAAGAUCUAUUAUUUGAAUCCAAAGGUGAUAAUUUAAAUUAUUAAUAAUUUCACCGAGAUGAAUAUUUUAUAAUCUCCAAUAAAAUCAAUUCUUCGAGAUUGAUAUUUAUCCCUGAAUUCUUUCAAAAGAAUAAGCUACAAAUCAAAGAGAAAAUAGAUCUAUACUAAAUCAUUCCAAAUCCAAGAUUAGCUAAUGCGGGAACUAUUAAUCCUAGACUUAGAAUGCCAGAUUUCUCUCUCUCAUUUUUUUUUCAUAGCAGAUAGAAGAACCUACUAAUAACAUGAUAAUAUCCAUAUCAAUCAAAAUCAAAAACAAUAUUCUUUUCUUUGACAACGAAAUUCUUCUUAACAAGGAAACCCAUCAAAAAAUAUUUUCCAAUCAUAGAGUUAAUAUCGUUGAUCAUCUUAAAAUAAUUUAAACAACCAAUAGUCUCAUAAUUUACUAAAUCACCUCCAAUCAAAAUCCCAAUCUACAUUUAAAAUUUCUAAUUCUCGGUAAAGCCAAAGAAUAAUUCUAGAAUUUCAUCC